GGUGCAAGUGUGGUAGCGAUGAAUAACAAAAUAGAGCAAACUAUGGAUCUGGUGAAAAGCCAUUUGAUGUAUGCAGUUAGAGAGGAAGUGGAGGUUCUGAAGGAACAGAUCAGAGAACUAAUAGAGAAAAACUCCCAGCUGGAGCAGGAGAACAAUCUGUUGAAAACACUGGCCAGUCCGGAGCAGCUCGCCCAGUUUCAGGCCCAGCUGCAGACUGGCUCCCCUCGGUCCACCACGCAGCCACAGGGGACCACACAGCCCCCUGCGCAGCCAGCAUCCCAGGGCUCAGGAUCAACCAUGCCCCAACAGAACUGGCUGCUGUUGUCUGGUCUGAACAGAUGGAAGAAGAAGAUGUGCUAGCGAGAAGCCACCUUCACAGUCACCCAUUUCAUUGCUGCCUACGAAAGAGAUGUGAGACUCACACACUGAUCUCGCUUUCUCCCCAGUACUAAGCACUCAUAUGCUUUUGGCUUGAAGAAAUGUACUAGUUGAGUGAAUUAAAGGUUAAUCGGAGAGUGAGCAUGGAUGUACCCUGUGCGCCUUGGCAGAUGUCUGAGGAAUGGUUUAAUUGUCGCUGAGGAGCUGUGUGCCUUUUCAACCCUCC
RNA transcript from Mastomys coucha (southern multimammate mouse), 604 nucleotides. It is a transcript of the gene named TSC22 domain family protein 1 pseudogene, with no coding region annotated. NCBI's taxonomy places the organism in Eukaryota, Metazoa, Chordata, Mammalia, Rodentia, Muridae. The transcript has a single exon. The record is from RefSeq and is a predicted model, not a curated record.